This 508-nucleotide ribosomal RNA is filed under the name uncultured bacterium. RNAcentral's name for it is "partial 16S ribosomal RNA". It matches the Rfam family "Bacterial small subunit ribosomal RNA", at positions 30 to 523 of the family's 1533-position model. The record is from RNAcentral.
AUUGAACGCUGGCGGCAUGCCUUACACAUGCAAGUCGAACGGCCGCGGGGGAGAAGCUUGCUUUUCCUGCCGGCGAGUGGCGAACGGGUGAGUAAUACAUCGGAACGUGCCCUGUAGUGGGGGAUAACUAGUCGAAAGAUUAGCUAAUACCGCAUACGACCUGAGGGUGAAAGCGUGGGACAGCAAGGCCUCAUGCCACUGGACCGGCCGAUGUCUGAUUAGCUAGUUGGUGGGGUAAAGGCCUACCAAGGCGACGAUCAGUAGCUGGUCUGAGAGGACGAUCAGCCACACUGGGACUGAGACACGGCCCAGACUCCUACGGGAGGCAGCAGUGGGGAAUUUUGGACAAUGGGCGAAAGCCUGAUCCAGCAAUGCCGCGUGUGUGAAGAAGGCCUUCGGGUUGUAAAGCACUUUUGUCCGGAAAGAAAUGGCUCUGGUUAAUACCUGGGGUCGAUGACGGUACCGGAAGAAUAAGGACCGGCUAACUACGUGCCAGCCGCCGCAGUAA